Molecule: ribosomal RNA, 458 nt
Filed under: uncultured bacterium
Lineage: Bacteria
Description: partial 16S ribosomal RNA
Rfam family: Bacterial small subunit ribosomal RNA
Source: RNAcentral
CCUACGGGAGGCAGCAGUGGGGAAUAUUGCACAAUGGGGGAAACCCUGAUGCAGCGACGCCGCGUGAGUGAAGAAGUAUUUCGGUAUGUAAAGCUCUAUCAGCAGGGAAGAAAUAGCGACCUUUGGGUCGCCAGACGGUACCUGACUAAGCAGCCCCGGCUAACUACGUGCCAGCAGCCGCGGUAAUACGUAGGGGGCAAGCGUUAUCCGGAUUUACUGGGUGUAAAGGGAGCGUAGACGGCAGCACAAGUCUGAAGUGAGAUGCCGGGGCUUAACCCCGGAACUGAUGUGGAAACUGUGCAGCUAGAGUGCAGGAGAGGUAAGUGGAAUUCCUAGUGUAGCGGUGAAAUGCGUAGAUAUUAGGAGGAACACCAGUGGCGAAGGCGGCUUACUGGACUGUAACUGACGUUGAGGCUCGAAAGCGUGGGGAGCAAACAGGAUUAGAUACCCCUGUAGUC